Molecule: unclassified non-coding RNA, 435 nt
Filed under: Hevea brasiliensis (rubber tree)
Lineage: Eukaryota; Viridiplantae; Streptophyta; Magnoliopsida; Malpighiales; Euphorbiaceae
Source: RNAcentral
GGGAGAUCCGGUGGCGCUGCUGCACCCGUCUCCGUCUCCCCCCUCUACUGCCGAGCACGAACUCCGGCGAUCCUCCGCCGCCUCUCCGAUCUCCCGCCCGUCUCCUCCGCCCUUCAUCGAAAUGGCUGAUGAGUGUACUUCUACCCAGCUCAUUGACGGAGAUGGUGUUUUCAAUGUGUCUGGCCUUGAAUCCUUUAUGAGGUCUGUGAAGUUUGCCGAAUGUGGACUGUCCUAUGCUGUUGUCUCUAUAAUGGGGCCUCAAAGCAGUGGGAAGAGCACUCUUCUGAAUCAUCUUUUCCAUACCAACUUCAGGGAGAUGAAUGCUUAUACGGGGAGGUCCCAAACUACCAAGGGCAUUUGGUUGGCAAAAUGUGCUGAUGUUGAACCUUGUACACUUGUUAUGGACUUGGAGGGUAGCGAUGGAAGAGAGCGAGG